UACAGAGGUCUCAAGCGUUGUUCGGAUUCAUUGGGCGUAAAGGGUGCGUAGGCGGCGCGGUAAGUCGGGUGUGAAAUCUCGGAGCUUAACUCCGAAACUGCAUUCGAUACUGCCGUGCUUGAGGACUGGAGAGGAGACUGGAAUUUACGGUGUAGCGGUGAAAUGCGUAGAUAUCGUAAGGAAGACCAGUGGCGAAGGCGAGUUUCUGGACGGUAACUGACGCUGAGGCACGAAGGCCAGGGGAGCAAACGGG
RNAcentral lists this ribosomal RNA (253 nucleotides) under uncultured bacterium. RNAcentral's name for it is "partial 16S ribosomal RNA". It matches the Rfam family "Bacterial small subunit ribosomal RNA", at positions 524 to 776 of the family's 1533-position model. The record is from RNAcentral.